RNAcentral lists this ribosomal RNA (323 nucleotides) under Plectus acuminatus. Its description in RNAcentral is "eukaryotic LSU rRNA". It matches the Rfam family "Eukaryotic large subunit ribosomal RNA", at positions 646 to 944 of the family's 3401-position model. The record is from RNAcentral. Lineage: Eukaryota; Metazoa; Nematoda; Chromadorea; Plectida; Plectidae.
GACCCGUCUUGAAACACGGACCAAGGAGUCUAACAUGUGCGCGAGUCAUUGGGUGUCAAACCUAAAGGCGGAAUGAAAGUGAAGAUCGGCUCGACCGAUUGAUAUGGGAUCCGUUCGGUCACGGCCGAGCGGCGCACCAUAGCCCCGUCUCGACUGCUUGCAGUGGGGCGGAGGCAGAGCGUACACGUUGGGACCCGAAAGAUGGUGAACUAUGCCUGAGCAGGGCGAAGCCAGAGGAAACUCUGGUGGAGGUCCGAAGCGGUUCUGACGUGCAAAUCGAUCGUCAGACUUGGGUAUAGGGGCGAAAGACUAAUCGAACCAUC